UACGGGGGGGGCAAGCGUUGUUCGGAAUUACUGGGCGUAAAGGGCGCGUAGGCGGCCACCGCAAGUCGACUGUGAAAUCUCCGGGCUUAACCCGGAAAGGUCAGCCGAUACUGCGGGGCUAGGGUGCAGAAGGGGCAACUGGAAUUCUCGGUGUAGCGGUGAAAUGCGUAGAUAUCGAGAGGAACACCUGCGGCGAAGGCGGGUUGCUGGGCUGACACUGACGCUGAUGUGCGAAAGCUAGGGGAGCGAACGGG
Molecule: ribosomal RNA, 254 nt
Filed under: uncultured bacterium
Lineage: Bacteria
Description: partial 16S ribosomal RNA
Rfam family: Bacterial small subunit ribosomal RNA
Source: RNAcentral